Molecule: long non-coding RNA, 21194 nt
Filed under: Citrus x clementina
Lineage: Eukaryota; Viridiplantae; Streptophyta; Magnoliopsida; Sapindales; Rutaceae
Description: Citrus clementina (C. clementina) long non-coding RNA (CCLE_LNC003363)
Source: RNAcentral
AGAGGAAUCAGUUAAAGCUAAUAAAACUGUUGUUGGUUUGAACCAGAAAGUGGAGGGUGGUCUAGAUGAGCAUCCUCAAGGUAAGAAGCAGAAAGCCAAGGAAGAAGAACUACUUGGAGCUCAGAAGUGGAUAAAAAAAUCUACAGAAAGCAGAGAUAGUGCUGGCCAAGAAAUGAAGACUAAAGUAGAAGAGGAAUCAUUUAAAGCUAAUAGAGAGAGAUCCAGAUUAGCAUCUUCAAGGCAAGAAGCAUAAGGCCAAGGAAGAAGAAUUACUUGGAGAUCAGAAGAUGUGCAGUAACUCCACUUCAAAAAACUCUACUGAAAGCAGAGAUAGUGCUGGCCAAGAAAUUAAGGCUACUGUAGAAAAGGAAUCAGUUAAAGCUAAUAAAACUGCUGUUGUUUUAGAACAGAAAGUGGAGGGUGGUCAAGAUGAGCAUCUUCGAGGUGAGAAGCACAAGGCGAAGGAAGUGGAGCUAAUUGGAGCUCAGAAGAUGUGCACUUCCUCAUCUUCAACAACAUCAAAAGAAUCUGGAAAGACAAUUAAGCUUACCAAAAGCAGAGAUAGCGCCGGCCAAGAAAUGAAAGCCUAAACAGAAUCAGUUAAAGCUAUUAAAACUGUUGUGGGUUUUGACCAGAAUGUGGGGGGCGAAGAAGAUUCAGAGAACAAAAAUGAGGAGCUGCCAAAGAAGAAGGCGUUGAAUGCAAUCACUCAGAAGACAACAAAUGGAAUACCAACUGGAGGGAUGAUGAGGAGAAAACUUCCCCUUAGAGAGAACUUCGAAUUCUGGUGUGAAGUUUUUCAGGUUGGUACUCACUCCGCUGUUGUGAUGGAGGGUCAUAAAAGGGGGAAGAAACACAUGGCUCGGUCUAAUGGAUCUAGGAAAAAUAAUGAGGCCGUCCCCCUCACCACCCGCACUACAAUUGUGACACCAUCAGAGCCUACUGAGAAUGUUGGAGAUGAAGAUGCGGUGGCCCAAGAAUGAAAUGAAGAAACCGCAGAGAGUGUCAUUGAGAAGGCUGAAGAUGAAGAGGUGGUGGUCUAUAGAGGCAGAUAAAGUGAGCCUGAUGCAGCAGACUCCUUAUUAUGCUGAAGGUAAAGCUCUUAACUUUUAUUUUGCUCUUGCGCUCCAUUUUGAAUGUCUUAAAUUUCAAUGAACCAGCUGCGUGUUACUUUAUCAUUUUAAAACUCAGAAAUUACAAUAAUAAAUUUAAGUUCAUUCUUCCAUCUCGUCAUAUAUGGAUUUGAAGGUACUGAAUGAUGAAGCCUGUAAAUUCAAGCAACAAUACUGUAAUGGGGAUCAUGUGUUGUUCUCUACUCUCCAGUCGUUGGUAAAAAGCUCAAAAAAUGAAAACCAGACACUGUUAGAUCAACCAUUUGAAAGUGCUUCAUAUAUGCAUGAUUAUGACAUUGGACUCUUCGGCCCAAUGCAAAUUUUUCUUGAUCAUGACCUGACGUUAGUUUAUCUUGUGCUGGCAGGUAGUUGGUGGGAUAUCACUAACCACAACUUAUGCAGAAGCUUCCUAACAUCAGCCGUGGGUCCAGGAUGUUUGAUCGGAUCGGCUAAAUUAAAAUUUUUUUGUAUAUGUUUGUGUGAAUAUUUACAAAGGAGUGAAAAAACUAAUAUAUAUUAAAUAACGCGACAUUAAGAACCUCGUUCUGAAUAAAUUUUAUGUAUAUAAUUUGUAAAAUAAACUAAUAAUUAAAAUAACAAUUUACCCUUUUAACUCGUACAGAUACAACCUUAAAUUCCUUAUUUAAUUCAGCUCAUUCAGAGGGAGACAAUUAGACAAAACUUAUUUUAUCAGAGUGAACUGCGAAAGUACUAGCUUAACCAGAGAGAUUAAUGUCGUAGUUUGCACAUUUGUUUAAUUGCAAUUCAACAUAUAUAGGAAGUGAACGUGAAAAUAGAAUUAAUAAUACAUUGCAAGUACCUAAUAAUUUCAGAAGCAAUUAACAGUGACCUUUAUUGGAAAAAUCCAUUAUGAUUAGAAGCAAUCCCAUCACAUACAUGAACAGUUAAAUAUACGCAUCCAUAAUUAGAUAUCACAUUAAUCAACCAAAUACAUUUCUUGGUUUCUAAGCUCCAAAAUUGAAAUUUCAUGAAAAGGUUUUUGCAUUGGUGUCUUAUAGCGAGCGAUAAAUUCGUUGGACACGAGUUGCAUUGUAGGUCGAGACUUUGGUUGAGAACGCAAGCAUGAAAAUGCUACUGUUGAAACAAGAAUGAUAUCCUGCCUAAUCUUUUGAUCCACCGGAGGUGAGAAGCGUGGGUCCAGCAAAUCAAUCAGCUUAAUAUUUUUAUCUAAUGACGAAGAUAACGAUGAGAGGAGCUCUCCAGGAUGCUUUCCCAUUAGUACUUCUAGUGCCUCCACUCCGAAGCUAUAAACAUCAGAUUUCUCCGUCACAAUCAUGGUAUAGGCCAGUUCUAUCGGAAAACAGAAGCCUUUAUUAGUGAUAUUUCGUAUAUAAUAACAAGAGCAAUUUGUUUAUAUUUUUGAGCUUCUGCAGCAAGGUAUGACAAAGAAACAUAUGUUUUUAAUUGAUAUUUAAACUGUGUAUUUUUUUUUUUUUUAAAAAAAAGUUAAACGGGUAGGCAAAGUUCAAAUUUAUCUUUCUAGCUCCUUACCUAUUCCAAAAUUCGAACCUAAGUAGCUAACUAAAUAAAACUGCUUAAAACUUACUUAACAGAGUGCAUAUAGAAAUUAAUUAAAAGAAUAAUUAAAGAAGCAUAAGAAGAACGGCUAGAAGAUUACCUGGAGCAAUAUAUCCAUAAGUGCCAGCUAACAUGAGCCAUGCCCCUCACAGUGUUCACCCUUUUAGCCCAAUCCAAAUCAACAGCUUCCUCAUCUGUGCGUAGAACACAGAACAAGCUUCCCAUUUCCAUGUACUCAUAGAUUAAGAACAUGCAUUUCCUGUGCAAACAAAACCCGUAAAGCUUUACGAUAUUUCGAUGCCGUAUUUGGGACAGUAGACGAGCCUCAUUCCGGAAACUCUCGAGGGAAGCUAACUCCUCAGUUUCUGAACGGUGAAGCUUCUUCAAAGCAACUACUUUUCCACUGGGUAGUCGUGCUCUGUAAACGCUGCCGUAGCUUCCGGUUCCAAUGCAGUAUUUGAUAUGGAAAUCCUCGGUAGCUUCAAUCAUGUUUUGAAAUGUAAUUUUACCGUCGUAAUUCCAAAUUGCAAACUCAUCAGCGCACUUGGUGAUUUCUCCUGUCUCAGCUGGUUCAACUCUCUUAUCCCUUCGUCUACGGACAAACAAGAUUCCAAAUAUCAAGGCAAGCAAUGCGACCAUAGGGAGAAUAAUUGCAACCAAGCGAGUGGCAAUCUUUUUGUGAUGUGGCGGUGGCGAAUUUGCCGAAGUAUUUGGGAUUUUUACCUCGAAAUUGUUGCCUGACACAUAUAAGAGAGGCACUUUUUUGACAGAUUCAGGGAUACUACCGGAGAGGUUAUUCAUGGAAAGGUCCAUGGUGCGUAUGCGUGGAAUUUCUCGAAGCUGGGAAGGUAUUUUACCAUUAAUGGAGUUAUGGCUCAGAUUAAGAUAAUUUAGUUCUUGAAGUUUGUUAAUCUCUGACGGGAUGCUUCCACUUAACAAGUUGUUUCCCAAAUCUAAUUCCCACAGCUUUGAGCAAUUCAUGAGUUUUGGAGGAACUCGACCAUCAAGUUUGUUGUCGUACAGGUCAAGAACUUGAAGAACCUUCAAACUCCCGAUUCCUAAUGGGAUGGAACCAUUAAUUUGGUUUGAGGCAAUAGCCAAAGUAGUUAGCUGGGUUAGAUGACCUAGAGUUGGAGGGAUAUUACCAUGAAGGGCGUUAGAAGACAAGUCCAAAAUUUUCAAUUUGCUUAGAGACCAAGAGUUGGAGGGAUAUAUCCCAAGAGGUAAUUAUUAGAUAGAUCCAGGUGGACCAGAUUCCUCCAUCUCCCCAUCUCUGAAGGGAUAAUUCCUGUUGCGCAUGUGAUUUAUGAAAAAUGAAAUCAGUAUUCACUAUCCUCAUAUAAAUAAAAUUUAUAAAGAAAUGCUUAGGUUGUAAAAAUUAAUAGAUUUUUUAGUGCUCCAAUAGUUUUUUUAUUCUUAUUUUUUGUUGGGGCUCGUCAAUGCUGCAUAUUUUUUACUGAAAGUUAAAUCCGCAGAUGCAACAAAUAUAUCAAUAAAUUAAUACAAAACUAUGGAGAGUGGAGAGAAUCACUCUCAGUGCUCUCAAUUGACUAUCCUAUUGUGUAAAUACAAAAGUAAAUUUAGUAAAUUAAUGAGGAACUGUAUAUGUGUGAAAUUAGAAAUAGUGCUUUUGAUUUUUAAUCAUAUCUUUUAUAGGAUAACCCUGAAUUUUAAUGCAAAGGGGAAAAAAAGAGAGGAAAAGAUACAAACCAAAAAUGCUUAAACCUGCCUUCCUUAAUAAUUACGUACAACUUGUAAUCGCCCAAUGUAACAAUUGCAAUUGAUGGAUGCAAUUUGGAAAAGAAACUGACACUUGAAGCCGAUUCAUUUCAUACAAAAAUUGAAGGAAAAAAAGCCAACCAGCAUAUUCUCCAAAUUAAAACACUACCGAAGUAAUAAACAAAGAUGUAGAAAUUUAUUAUAUAGUUUCACUUUCACACAACAAAAAUGUGCUUAGACGACCAAGAGUUGGAGAGAUAUUACCAUCAAUGCCGUUAGAAGACUAUAGUUUCACUUUCACACAACAAAAAUGUGCUUAGACGACCAAGAGUUGGAGGGAUAUAUCCCCAGAUGUAAUUAUUAGAUAGAUCCAGGUGGACAAGAUUCCUCAAUCUCCCCAUCUCUGAAGGAAUAAUUCCUGUUGCGCAUGUGAUUUAUGAAAAACGAGAUCAGUAUUCACUAUCCUCAUAGCAAAUAAAAUUUAUAAAGCAAUCCUCGUAAAAAAAAACUUCUUCAGUGUUGUAAAAACAGACGCCUGCUUCAAGCAUGAGCACGACUUCAUACAUACAUACAUACAUACAUAUAUAUAGUGAAGUUUCGUAGCAUACCGGUAAGAUAGUUGGAGGACAGUUCAAGAGUUUGGAGCAUUGAAAGGGCAGUAAUUUCAGAUGGAAUGCUCCCAGAGAGAAGAUAAUUUGAAUGAAUUUUGAAACUUCUGAGGUUCGGAAAGCAAGAGAAUUUGAAACGACCAAGCUCUCCUUCGAUGUUAUCAUUUUCAUACCAGAGUAAGCUGACCCCGAGUACGCUUCCCGCUGAAUUGCAACUGAUGCCAGUCCACUUAUAAUGAUCGGACGUGGAGUUGCCCGUCGCCCAAUUGUUGAUCCACCAGCCUGUACCAAGUAUAGCUUCCCUUUCUAACUGUAUGGGUGACGACAACAAUCCUGCAGCUGAUGCUAUUACAAAUACUGUCGUAUCACUUAUAGCACCAACAUUUAUUAAAAUUAUAAUGACCACCAGUCUCGAAACAGAGGACGCUGAUGCCAUGUUUAUGGUGGUUUUCGGUUGAUUGAGCAUUUGAUUCUCAGCAAAGCGUUUAUAUAAGAAUUAAUUGUUUUGCAACUUCCCGGUGUUAAUUUCCAACACGCGUUUUCAAAUAGUGUGAGUCAAGGUCUUCUCUAGAUGGAUUUAAUCAUGGAGAUAUAACCUUAUCGGCUUGUAUUUGUGAGGUGUAGAUCUAUUUGAACAACAUUGCAGAAACAUGAGAUAAUACGGACAAUAUUAGAAAUAAUUAAUAGCAUUAUUAGUAGUAUAAGAUAUUAAGUAUUACCCAAAAUAAGAAAAGGAAAACCGUUCAAAGAAAAUAAUUGUUAUAAAUAAUGGCUCAAAUAGGAAAAUAAACAAGACUAAUCAUAUCUUUUGUAACAUACAUACCAUAGCUCAUGGGCUAACUAACAUUUUUUUUUUUAACCCUAAACAUCAUAAAUGAAAGAAGAUGAAAUUUUCAUUACCGCUCAAUUUUUCUGCACGCAACCAAAUUUUUUUUAAAAAAAAACAAAAAGAAAGUGUUAGAAAAAUAAUGCGCAAGUAGCUACUUGAGGCAUGAUUUUGAAUGAGACCUUUUUGGUAUAAGUGAAAAUUCAGAAAUUGUUUCGCAUAUUCCUCUAUGAGUACUUCGGAAUGUUAUCUAUACGAUCAAAAUGAUCCUCAAGUGAAUGAGAAAUUAUUACUCAAAGUGCACUCAUGAAUUUGAAAAAUUAAAGGAAAAUACAUUUGUCCCACAUUGGAAAGAUUUAUACAUAAUUACUAGAUGAACGGUAAGCUAUUAUAAGCAAAGGGGCGUUCCUUGUGCACGGUCACGGGAGUGCAAAUUUUAACCACCCCAAUUAGCUUAACCAGUGUUCAUAUUGGGGGUGUUUACCCGACCCUUAGUUGGGGUUAGCUAAUGUGGCAACUUAGUUUGCCUUUUUUUUUUUUUCUCUUUGUAAUAAUAAUAAUAACAAAUUAAUAUAAUUUUUUAAUUUAAUAUUAUAUUACAUAAUAUUAAAUUAUGUUUUAAUUUUUAUUAUUUUAAAUAUAUAACUAAACAUUGUAUUAUUUAAUUGUAUUAUUUUAAUUAAUAUAUAAAAUUAUAUUAAUUAAUCUUUAAUAAGUUAAUAUAAUUAGUAAUAAAUACUUAAAUAAUAUAAUAUUACAUUAUUAAUUAUAGUACAAUAAUUAAUUUAGCUAUUUUUAAAUAAUUUAAUAUAACUAACAAUAAAUAUUUAAAUUUGAAUAAUAUUAAUUGAAAAUUAAUAAUAUAAAUAAUUACUGGAUUAUUUAGCUCAAUUAUAUCACUUUAUUAUUCUAUAAUUAUCUUGUAAUAUGUAUAAACUUUUAUUCUAUCAUCCUCAAAUGAUUUUUGAAUUAAUCUUGAAGAUUUCAACUAUUUAUUUAUGUUGUUAAAUUAUUUAGUGAUUAUUUGAUUAAAUUAUUUACUUUGAUCUUUAUUUCAUAAGUUAUAUAUUUAGAAAAUACUAAAAAAUACACUUCCAAAAAUUUAAGACUAUAAGCUUCGGAAGAAUUAUGACAUUUCAAUAUAUAUUUUUAAUAAAAAUGUUAAAUUUCCAAAAUUUAAGAAUUUUAUAUUUAUUAUUUUUAAGUACUAAUAAAUAUUAUUUUCUAAAUAUAUAAUUUAAAUUAAUCACAAAAAAAUUAAUACAGUACAAUGUAACGCCAAACAUUGUACAACAUUAUUAUAAUACAGUGUUAAUGCAAUACAACAUAAUACAAUACACCUGCAAUAAAAUAAUGCAAUACAACAUAAUACAAUACAGUUUGUCAAACACACCAUUGUAUUAUUGUUUCGUUCUCAUUGUAUAAUUGCCGUCCAUACCUGUGCAAAACAUUAAGAGUUAAAAAAAUAUAUUUUUAUGAUUAAUUUUAGAUAUUUUUUAAACUUUAAUAAUGCCAUAUUAUUUAAUAUUACAAUUGCCGUUCGAACAUGUGCAAAACAUGAAGACUAAUAUAUAUAUAUAUACACCAUAUUAUUUAAUAUUUAAUUUUUAAGGCAACUUUUACUUAAAAAAAAAAAAAUUUAAGGCAACUUUUUUAGUUGAGGGCAGGGAACCCCUACGAUACCUAAUUCCAUAACACGCUCAUCUAAUCACCUUGACUAUAAGACUUCUCCUAGUCAGCAAUUAUUUGGAAAAAAACGUCUUGACAUGUGCUGUGGAAAUUAAAGAAUGAGGUGGACUUACGAAGUCAAGGGGUUUUUCUAGUCUACAUAUUUUAAUUUAUAUGUGUAGAAAAUUAGAAAUAUUCAAUGUCUAAUCUGAUUCUACAUAAACACUAAUGCCCCAAGAUUGUGAUUGAAAUGCUAUAAGCAGUUUAUUUUAUAAGUUUAGAUAAAAAUGAGGUUUGAUGGCUUUGUUAAAAGUUGCUUCUUUCACAAUUUUCUCAAUUUUGACUAAAACUUCUAAAAACAGGCAGGAGAUUAUUUUGAUAAGCAACUUAUUAAAUAAGUUGCUAGAUCUUUUUAAAUGUUCCUAUAAUAAUCUUAAUAUUUUAAGAAAAGAAUAAUUAUAUCUUUCUUUUCUAUAAGCUCUAAUAUAUAAAUAAAACACAGUUUAAACUUAUGUCUAUUUUAGUGAUUAAAUAAUACAACACAUUCAUAAUCAAAUUUACCAAACACGAGCAAGACACUUUUUUAACCAUCAACUUAUUUCAUCCUCACAACAAAAAUAACUUAUUUUAUCAGCCACCGCCAUCCUAAACUUGAUGCUAAGUCACGUUUGGGAUUGCAUUAGAUUGUCAAAUAAUUAAGAGAAAUAGCCAUUAUGGAGAAGAAUAGGGAGAGGUUCGCCUAAAGCAAUAUACUCGUAAGCUUGGCUACUAAUAAACGGAGCAUAUAAGCAUAAACACCUAACUUUUGAGGCAUAUAAGGGAUCUAAAAGUGCGGAAACGUUUGGAAAAACUUUAAAACCACAGGGUUUUAAAGGUUUAAACCGCAUGGUUUAUGUGUUUUCCUAGAUAUUCCCGCACUUUAAAAUUUCAGAUUAAAACAUUUCCAUAUGUGUGUGUGUGUGUGUGUGUGUGUGUGGAGGGCAAAUCUUUGACUCUCUCCAGCUUCAAGUACCUAUACGGUAACUCUUAAAUCAAAGGGAGAAAAUGGUUAACCCAAUCUUAUUGUAUAUGAAUUGAUAUUCACCAUAUGAUUAUUACAUAAAGAUUGAGCCUUAAGUGCUUUACAUUAAGUAAUAUUGCACACCUGUUCUACACAUUUAGACAACUCAGAGUAAAAAUAAUGAAAAUGACAACCAAAUCCAAACUACCUGUUCUACACAUUUGAACCCUAAUUUUUUAUUUUAUAGAAAAAUUUAAAUACCGUUUCUUGUUGUCACUGCUAUUAUACUGUCUGAUAUAUCUUCCAGAAUCCUAUAAUCCCCCCCCCCCCCAAAAAAGAAGAAACAAAAAAAGGUAUAUAAUUAAACAGGUAACUUCGAUAGAAAAGAGUGUACAUAAUUCUUAAGCUUAAUUACCCCUCGCUAUUAUAGGGAUCACGAAGGCCAUUAGAGAAAAUAAUGUUGCUACCAAAUCUCUUUAAAACCACUCUUAUAUCUUGCAAAUUAAAAAGAAAUAGAAAUCAAACAAAACUUGAGGUGAACUUUAUAAUUAAAACAGAAAAUGAGAAACCUUAAAAUAUUAGAAGAAUUAAUUUGGGGAUUAAUCGACACUUACAUUACCACUUUAAUAAGUUGUAAUCCAAUGUGGUCUUGGAACCACUCCAUAAGACUUAUUGCAUGAAUCCAUAUAUUCUGUCAGAUUAAAUGUGUCUGCUUGAAACAUUAUGUCGUUUUUGCCAAUUCCAAUUGGUGAGACCAUUUCACUGCAUGUCUGCAUGAGAAACCCCCCAAAAAUAAAAAAUAAUAAUAAUAAAAUAAGAUAAAGAAGAAAACUAUUUUUAAUCAUUCAUAAAUAUAAAGUCUCAUAAAUAAAAUUAAGAGAUGUACAUAAAAUAGGUAUUGUUCUCAUUGCCACAUGUUGUUUAUUUAACGGUCUCAAUAGAACUAACCAAUGAAAUCAUGUCACUUGUAAUUGCAUACCUGUCUGCCCCAGCUGGAGUCCAAUGUUGCAUCGGAGAAGAAUUCAUCAACAUCAUGGCAAGAAUCCUCCCCUCUUAAAUCAACAAUUCCUGAGAAGAUCCGGUCUAGGGUAUCUGUGCCUUCUAAAGCUCCAUCAAUACCAUUACAGGCUUUGUUCACUGGGCUUUCCUGAGGAUCAUCAUACUGAGCUGCACCCGUAUACAUAUACUCUAAAUAAUCUUUCAAUUCUGAAACAUCCUUCAGAGGCCUGUAAUCAAAUAAACAAUAACAUAGAAUUAAGUGCCACAAGGUCAUUAACUUUAUAAAAGAUCUUUCAACAUACUGUCUUAAAAAUGUUGUUAUAUUUAGUUAGAUUACAAUAAACUUUAUAAGUAUGAAGCUAUUGAUAUUCUCAAAUGCAAACGUUCAAAUUUGGCCUCAUUUGAUUAUCAGAGUUUUGCGUGGUUUUGUAGUUUAAAUUUAGAUUCUGCAAAAUAUGGACGUCUGAACCUAAGCACCAGUAUACUAUAUAUGGUAACGCAAAGGCCGUGUAUAAGCCCAAAUCCAGAUUUUUACUUUGUAUAUUACACGUUAAUCGAAAUGUAUAUACACGCUGAGGAUGACAGAUAAUUAAUUAGACAUGGUACAUUCGAUAACGAUGCUAAAAUAACAUUGCAUUAAUUGUAAUUAAGGGAAAAUCGGAUGGAUAUACAAUAUAAGCAGUUAUGUAAAGUAAUAUGAUUAAUUACUUGCAGGUUUUGAACUUUAUAGAGAGAAAAGCAAGUCCAUUUUUUCCAGCAGCGACUUUAUCGAUUUCAGCCUAGGACUGUUUGAUGGUCUUGUAGCAGCUCUCGCUGGCUUCCUGCAUCAUUAAUUUUUAAAAUUCAAUGGCUAAAUUUUAACAAGAAAACAUAAUCAUGCUUAUAUAAAAUUUUAAUUAACUAAUUUAUUUCUUACCCGAAAGUCCUUGGUGACAAGAUCAUAAUAUGCGUUUGACGGUGUGAUAUUCUCAAAGUAGAGAACUGGGGCGGAUGAGGCAACUGCUCCCAAAGCAAUGUGAAGAUACUUCAAGUGAAACCAUGCAGCAAGCAUUGUUGAUAACAAACCAACAAACAAGUAACUCUCGAAACCAUAUCACAUCCCAGAUCUGAUAAAAUAGGAUGAAUUGAGAAGAUUAUUUUUAAAUACAUAAUUAUCUUGAAUAUAUUUAUUAUUUCUUGAUUUUACGAUCGCCAAGAGUAUUCGUUAGUUGCAAUAUUAAAUAAAUUUGUAUCAUAGUAAUAUUGCCGUAGUCAAUAUCUUGAUCGAUCAAUCGUGAUCUAAAUGAGUAAAAUGAUGUGACAGAUGACACGACAUUAAUCAAAAGAUGUAAGUAAGUUAAUAAUAUUAUAAUUUACUUCCUCCAUAAGAUGCUCCAACAACCAUAAUGGGAGACAUUUCGUCCGAUAAAUUUUUCUGGAUGUGUAAGAGAAUCUCUGCGUAAUCAGCCAAAGCUUGAGCAGAGUUGAAAUAUCCACGAAGAGUUGCAUUCUUUGGGGCAUCUUUGCUUGAUACAAAAGGUAUUGAUUUUCCAUAGAACCGAUACUGCAUAAAAAAUUGAAUUAAAAAAAAAAUCCAUCACAACUUUUCGUAUGUGAACUCUAUUUCAAUUAUUAUCAAGCUAGCCUGAUAACAUAUUCUUUACUUACCUCUAUGUAAACUUGUAAGGCUUUAAAUCGAUGAGCACUAUUAGUUAGCCAUCCAAUGCCACCAAGGUCAUCAUAUCAAGACUACUCUCUUCACCAAGAUAUGCCAAUAUCGGCGCCGCCAUGGCUCUGCCACCGCCCCAAUGCUUGAAGUUCAACGCAUAUCUAUGAGGAAAAGUUAAAUAACUUUGUGGAUUAUAGUUAAAGUGAUCAAGUGUUUGAUAAUAAUAGUAAGUUUCGAGAUCAUAAUAGUAACUUUGUGGAUUUUUUUGCUAGGGUUUUGAAAAAUAGUCCUUCCACGAACAGCACCAAGCUUUGGGAUGUUCUUUAAUGGUGAAGUGGAAGCAAAAGCAAAAUUUGUGAGGAGAAGAAGAAAAAGGCAUGGAAGCCACCGACCUUUCAUGGCAAAGUUGUAAAUCCUUAAUUAGCAGGAUGAUUAUGUAAAUACAGAAGAAAUAGAGUUAAGAUUAGAUUAUAAAUUCAGCUUCAAAAUCGACGUGUUUGUUAAUAUAUCCUGGAUUUGUUGUUAUCGUAUAAUUUAAUUAAUGUUGGUUUUAGUUUUAUAUUAGUAUGGAUCUUCAUUUUUCAUAAAAUUAUAGUGUGUCGAAUAUAUAGUUAUCGGUUUCGUAAUUAAUAAAAAUUUUUAUUAUUUCUUUCCUAGUAAUUAAUUAUCUUGUGCUUACCAGAAUAUCACUAACCACAACUUCUGCAGAAGCUUCCUCACCUUCGGAUGACAUCAGCGGUGCGUCCAGGAUGUUUGAUCGGAUCAGCUAAAUUAAAAAUUUAUUGUAUAUGUUUGUGUGAAUAUUUACAAAGGAGUGAAAAAAAACUAAUAUAUUGAAUAACGCGACAUCAAGAACUUCGUUCUGAAUGAAAUUUUUAUAUAUAAUUUGCAAAAUAAGCUAAUAAAUAGAAUGACAAUUUACCCUUUUUAACUUGUAGAGACACAACCUUAAAUUCCUUAAUAUGCUGGUUAAUUCAGAUCAUUGAGAUGGAGACAAUUAGACAAACCUUAUUUUAUCAGAGUGAACUGCGAAAGUACUAGCUUUACAAAAGAGACUAAUGUCGUAGUGUGAAUGGAAUUAAAAAAUACUAAGGCAGACAAUUCGUCGAACACAUAAUAUUUGCUACAUUGCUACUACCUAAUAAUUUCACAACCAAUUAACAGUCUCCUUUAUUGGAAAAAUCACAUUAAUCAACCAAAUACAUUUCUUGGUUUCUAAGCUCCAAAAUUGAAAUUUCAUGAAAAGGUUUCUGCAUUGGUGUCUUAUUGCGAGCGAUAAAUUCGUUGGACACGAGUUGCAUUGUAGGUCGAGACUUUGGUUGAGAACGCAAGCAUGAAAAUACUACUGUUGAAACAAGAAUGAUAUCCUGCCUAAUCAUUUGAUCCCCCGGAGGCGGGAGGCGUGGGUCCAACAAAUCAAUCAGCUUUAUAUUUUUAUCCAAUGACGAAGAUGACGAUGAGAGGAGCUCUCCUGGAUGCUUUCCCAUUAGUACUUCUAGUGCCACUACUCCGAAGCUAUAAACAUCAGAUUUCUCUGUCACAACCAUGGUGUAGGCACGUUGUAUAGGAAAACGGAAGUCUUUAUUAGUAAUGUUUCCAUAAACAAUAACAAGCACAAUUUGUUCAUGUUUUUUAGCUUCUUUAGCAAGGUAUGACAGAGAAGCAUAUGUUCUAACUGAUAUUCAGUGUAUGUGUGUUUUGAAAGGUAAAGGGAUAGGUAAAGUCUAAAUUCAGUUAUAGCUCCUUAGUUUUUUCAAAAUUCGAACCCAAGUAGCGAGCUAAAUAAAGCUGGUUAAAAACUACUUAGCAGAGUAUAUAUAAAAAUUAAAUAAGAGGAUAACUAAAGAAGCAUAAGAGGAAUAGCUAGAAGAUGACCUGGAGCAAUAUAUCCAUAAGUGCCAGCUAACAGAGUUCGAUUGGAUGAGUCAAAAUUUAACAAUCUAGCAAUACCAAAGUCAGCAACAAAAGCUUCGAAUUCUGAGUUGAGUAGAAUGUUGUUGCUUGAUAUGUCGCGGUGAACAAUUGGUGGUGUGCAGUGAUGAUGCAAGUAUGACAAAGCAUGAGCCAUACCCUUCACAAUGUUCACCCUUUUAGUCCAAUCCAACCCAACAGCUUCCUCAUCUGUGCGUAGAAUACAGAACAAGCUUCCCAUUUCCAUGUACUCAUAGAUCAAGAACAUGCAGUUCUCGUGCAAACAAAAGCCGUAAAGCUUUACAAUAUUUCGAUGCCGUAUUUGGGACAGUAGACGAGCCUCAUUCCGGAAACUCUCGAGGGAAGCUAACUCCUCAGUUUCUGAACGGUGAAGCUUCUUCAAAGCAACCACUUUUCCACUGGGCAGCCGUGCUCUGUAAACGCUGCCGUAGCCUCCGGUUCCAAUGCAGUAUUUGAUAUCGAAAUCCUCAGUGGCUUCAAUCAUGUCUUGAAAUGUAAUUCUACCAUCGUAAUUCCAAAUUGCAAACUCAUCAGCGCACUUGGUAAUUUCUCCUGUCCCAGUUGGUUCAACUUCCUUAUCCCUUCGUCUACGGAUAAUCAAGAUUCCAAAUAUCAAGGCAAGGAAUGCGACCAUAGCAAGAAUAAUUGCAACCAAGCGAGUGGCAAUUGUUUUGUGAUGUGGCGGUGGCGCAUUUGCCAAAGUAGUUGAGAUUUCUCCUCCCAAUUUAUUGCCUGACACAUCUAAGUGUGGCACUUUUCUGACAAAUACAGGGAUUCCACCGGAAAGGUUAUUCAUGGAAAGGUCCACAGUGUCUAUGCGUGGAAAUUCUCCAAGUUGGGAAGGUAUUUUACCAUUAAUGAAGUUACCGCUUAGAUCAAGAUAAUAUAGUUCUUGAAGUUUGCCGAUCUGUGACGGAAUGCUUCCGCUUAACAAGUUGUUUCCCAAUUUUAAUAUCCUCAGCUUUGAGCAAUUCAUGAGUUCUGGAGGAAUUGGGCCAUCAAGUUUGUUGUUGUACAUAUUCAAAGUAGUUAAUUGAGUCAAAUGACCCAGAGACGAAGGGAUUGGGCCAACAAGUUUGUUUUGGGACAAGUCUACACUUCUCAACCACUUUAAAUGGCCAAGUGUUGUAGGAAUUGAACCUCCAAUUUCAUUUCUGGACAGGUCAAGAGCUUGAAGAACCUUCAAACUCCCGAUUCCUAAUGGGAUGGAACCAUUCAUUUGGUUUGAGGCAAUAGCCAAAGUAGUUAGCUGGGUUAGAUGACCUACAUUGGAUGGGAUAUUACCGACAAGGGAGUUAAAAGACAAGUUCAAAAUUUUCAAUUUGCUUAGACCACAAAGAGUUGGAGGGAUAUGUCCCAUGAGGUGAUUAUCAGAUAGAUCCAGGUGGACGAGAUUCCUUAAUCGCCUCAUCUCUAAAGGGAUAAUUCCUGUUGUGCAUGUGAUUUAUGAAAAACGAGAUCAGUAUUCACUAUCUUCAUUAAAAAAAAAUUACAUAGAGGGAGAGUCAAGCUCAAGUGCGGACGACUCACACUUCUUUAGUGUUGUAAAAACAGACGCCUGCUUUAAGCAGCAGCGCGAUUUUAUACAUACAUAUAUAUAUAUAUGGUGAAGUUUCACAGCUUACCGGUAAGGCCGUUGUAGGGCAGUUCAAGAGUUUGGAGCAUUGAAAGGGCAGUAAUUUCAGAUGGAAUGCGCCCAGAGAGAACAUAAUUUGUACGAAUUUUGAAAUUUCUGAGGUUCGGAAAGCAAGAGAAUUUGAAACAACCGAGCUCUCCUUUGAUGUUAUCAUUUUCAUACCAGAGUAAGCUGACCCCGAUUACGCUUCCCGCUGAAUUGCAACUGACGCCAGUCCACUUACAAUGAUCGGACGUGUAGUUGCCCGACGUCGCCCAAUUGUUGACCCACCAGCCGGUAGCAAGUAAAGCUUCCCUUUCUAACAGUAUGGGUGACGACAAUAAUCUUGCAGCUGAUGCCGUUACAGAUAUUGUCGUAUCACUUAUAGCACCAACAUUUAUUAAAAUUAAAAUGACCACCAAUCUCGAAACAGUGGAUGCUGCUGCCAUGUUUAUAAUGGUUUUCGGUUGAUUGAGCUGGCUAUUUGAUUCCUUGCAAAGCGUUUAUAUAAGAAUUAAUUGUUUUGCAAGCUCCCGGUGUUAACUUCCAAUACGCGUUUUCAAAUAGUGUGAGUCAAUGUCUUCUCUGGAUGGAUUCAAUCAUGGAGAUAUAACCUUAUCGGCUUGUAUUUGUGAGGUGUAGAUCUAUUUGAACAACUUUGCAGAAACAUGAGAUAAUAUGGACAAUAUUAGAAAUAAUCAAUAGCGCUAUUAAGAUAUUAAAUAUUACCCAAAAUAAUAAAGAAAAAAAAAAGCUCGAAGGAUUGUUGUUGUAAAAUAUGACUCAAAUAGAAAAAUAAACAAGACUAAUCAUAUCUUUGUAUAAAUUUAAGUAUAAAAAAAACUUGUAGGUGUAUUAUUAUAAUAAGCUGUAGAGAAAAGAAUUUGUAGACUUCUGUGAUUUGACAAAAUAAUAAAAUAAUCCCUUUAUUUUUUAAAAUAGUUACAAAACUCCUUUUGCAACAUGCAAACUAUAUGGAAAAUUGGAAAUUCAUGGGCUACCUAAUAUCCCUCUUAUUUUUUUAUUUUUUAUUUUACACCAAAACAUCAUAGACAAAAGAAGAUAAAAAUUUCAUUGCACUCAAUUUUUUUCAUGAAAUCAAACAAGGAAAAGAAGCAAAAAGUGUUGGAAAUAUAGCACAAGUUACUAUUUGAUGCGUGAUUUUGAGUGAGACUUAUCUGUUGUUUCAAAUAUUCCUCCGUAAAUACUUCAGAAUGAUUUUACCUAUAUAAUCAAAAUAACCCUUGGAUAAAUGAGAAAUUGUUACUCAAAGUAAAUUCAUGGAAUUGGAAAAGUAAAGGAAAUUAUAUUUGUCCCACAUGAAAAAGAUAGCAAAGGCAUGAAAGGUUUGUAUAUAAUUACUCAUGUGUGUAUAAGUAAAAUAUAAACCAAGACGCUCUCUCUUCCGUGCCCCAUCCUAAGUACACAAAUUCAAUGUGAUACGAUCCUAUAGUUUCCGUUCAAACCUAUGCACACUUUAAAAAAAGGUUUUUUUUAAUAUAUUUUUUAUGUAUUUUACAUUUUUUUUAAAAUUUAAUAAAUGCCAUAUUAUUUAAAUAUUUAAUUUUAAGGCAUCUUUUUUAAGUUGAGGGCAAGGAACCCCUCCGAUACGUAAUGCCGAAACAUGCUAAUCUAAUCACCUUGACUUUAAAGACUGCUUCCCCUAGUCAGCAAUUAUUUGGAACUUACGUCUUGACAUGUGCUGUGGAAAAUAAAGAAUGAAGUAGACUUAUUGAGUCAAGCUGUUUCUUCAAUCCAGAUAUUUAGUUUAUACGUGUGCAAAUAUUCAAUGCCUAACUUUAUUCUGCACAAAGCCUAAUGUCCUAUUUGGGAUAACGGUUGAAAUACUUAUAAGUUUUGAUAAAAAUGAUGUUUGAUAAAUUUGUUAAAAGUUUAAUUCAUAUUUUCUCCAUUUUGACAAUAACUCUUAAAAUAAGUAUGAGAUUGUCUUUUAUAAGCAACUUAUUAAAUAAAAUGCCAUUUUUUUAAAGUUUCUAUUAUAACUUUAAUAUUUUAAGAAAAGAAUAAGUGUAUCUUAUUUUUUAAAAAAUCCUAAUAUAUAAGUAAAAGACAAUUUAAACUUAUGUUUAUUUUAAUGAUUAUAUAAUAAAAUAUUAUUUUCGUAAUCAAAUUUACCAAACACUGAGUGAGCUACUUUUAUAAUCAUUAGAUAAUUCCAUUCACAUCGCAGAAGCAGCUUAUUUCAACAGCCACCAAAAUCUUAAACUGAUCCUAAGUCAUGUUCGGAAUUGCAUGGGAUUGUCAAAUAAUUAACAAAAGAAGCUAUUAUGUAGGAGAAUAGGAACAGGUUCACCUGGAGCAAUAUACUCAUAAGCUUGGCUACUAAUAAACGGAGCGUGUAAGGAUAAACACCUAAGUUUUGAGAGAUACAUGUAUCUGGAGGGCAAAUUCUUUUUCUCCCACCGGCUUCAAGGACCUAUACAGUAACUCCUAAAUCAAAGGGAGAAAAUGGUUAAUCCAAUGUGGUUGUGUAUGAAUUGAUAUUCACCGUAUGAUUAUUACAUAAAGAUUGAACCUUUGUACGUGCUUUAUAUUAAGUAAAACUGCACACUUGUUCUACACAUUUAGACAACCCAGAUUAAGAAUUAUGAAAAUGAAAUCUACAACUAGCUAGGUGCACUAUUAUUUAUCUUUGCUCCUUAAAUAUUAGAAAGAUAGAGGAGAGGGAGAAAAAGAAAAGACUAAUUUUGUAGUCCAAAUUUAAUCUUAUGCUCUGAUUUUGAAGCAAAUCAGCAGAGUAUUUGAGGAACCAAUCAUGAACCAUGUCCAUUUCAAUCUUUCGCUGCAUUACUAACCAUUCGGGGUCAUCUUCUGUUGCUGGCUGUAUGUCUAAGCAAUGGGAACCUGCUCCAAUUUACACACUAUUAAUUAUGUUAUCCAAUAAUUUAGUUAAUAAUUGAACACUAAUUUUUUAUUUUAUAGAAAAAGUUACAUACUGUUUUUUGUUGUCACUGCUAUUAUAUUGUUUGAUAUAUUUUCCAGAACCCUAUAAUCCCAAACAAAGAAAGAAAAAGAAAAAGGUAUAUAAUAAAACGGGUAACUUCAAUAGAAAAGAAUAUCCAAAAUUCUUAAGCUAAAUUACCCAGCGCUGCUACAGGGAUCGCGGUGGCCAUUAGAGAAAACAAUGUUGCUACCAAAUCUCUUUAAAACCACUCUUAUAUCCUGCAAAUUAAAAAGAAAUAAAAAUCAAACUCAAGAACGAGGUGAAGUUUUUAAUUUAAAAAAGGAAAGAAAAAGAGAAAAUUAAAAGAAUUAAUUUGGGGAUUAAUUGACACUUACAUGACCACCAUAAUAAGUUGUAAUCCAAUGUGGUCUUGGAACCACUCCAAAAGACUUAUUGCAUGAAUCCAUAUAUUCUGUCAGAUAAAAUGGGUAUGCUUGAAACAUUGUUUCCUUUUGGCCAAUUCCAAUUGGUGAGACCAUUUCACUGCAUGUCUACAUGAGAAACCCCCUAUAUUAAUAAUAAUAAUAAUAAGAUAAAGAAGAAAAAUAUUUUUAAUCAUUCAUAAAUAUAUAGUGUUAGAGUGCAAUUUAUGCACUAGUUUUGCAUUGUUUACUUCCCUUAAUAUCGAUGUUUUGCACUUAAUAAUAGUGAUUUACUUGUGUUUUACUUUUGUGGGUGCAGUUCUAUUGAUUUGUGAUAAAAUUGAGCUAUAAGAUGUUGUUUAAAGAUGAUUGUUCUCUUGGAGAAAUUUAGAGCGUCAGAAGAACUUUGUUGAUAAGGCGUGGGCGCGUGCUGUCAACUGCGGGCCUGCAGUUUUUAGUUUAACAUGUUUUGUAUUUUUGGUUAUUUUGUAAUUACGAAUUUAAUAUUUCAGUUAUUAGUAUUUUAUUUUAAAUAGAAUUCUAAAAGAGAAGAGAGAGAGAGUAUUUAAGGGAGGAAUCUAUUGUGAAAAAGGAGACUUUUGGAGAAGAGAAAGAAACCUUAGGUCUAAACUUUUCUCUUCUCUCUAUGAAGCACUAAACCUAUUUUUCUGGUUGAAGGAUAAUGAAGCUUUGAUUCAUCACUACUGUGAGAUCUAUUUUAUGCUUUAAUUGUUUUAUUGCUUUUUGGGUAUUUGUUUAUUCUCUGAAUUAUUUUCAUGAUUAUGUUUGUUAAUUAGGUAAUUGGCCACUAUUUAAUUAUCAACUUAAUCUAUUAUUAAUUAAAGGAUUCAUCGUAUGAAAAUUUUAAUGUUUGUGACAAAUAACAUACCAAUGAGUUGUGUUAUGAGAAUAAACAAUCUAAUUUAAAUGAAUCAUCGUAUGUGUUGAUUAGGAUUUGGGUCUCUCUGGUCUUUCAGGCUAUCAAUUGAUUAAAUCCUAUGAUCGUAUCUAGGAUUGUCUAUUGAUUAGGGAAAUAGCCAACGGUCGUACCUUGGUUAUCGACUAGUUAAGGAGAGAUUGGCUAUUAGAGGGUCUCAGUAGCUAUAACCGGUCUAUUCAUAAGUAAUAAUAAUCUAUAUUUGAAUCAAUGAUCAGUAAUCGAAUCUAGCUGAAUUAAUUCCUUCAACCAGAGCUUUCUCCAAUUUGAAUUACAACUUUAAUUUGCAUUCUUGUUAUUUUAAUUUGAUUUUUAUUAUUGUCAACAAAACCCCCAUUUUAUGUUUUACGUUUUAAAAGGAUUUAAAUAAUUACCGAUCUCUGUGGACACGACCCUGCUCAAUCACUAUACACAAUUUAUUUAGAGUAGGAAUUUAUUUUUGUUGGCUUCGACAACCAUCGUAUAGUCAUAUAAAUAAAAUUAAGAGAUGUACAUAAAAUAGGUAUUGUUAGGCGAAAGACUAAUUCAUUGCGACAUGUUGUUUAUUUGAUGGUCUCAAUGGAACUAUCCAAUGAAAUCACGUCAUCUGUAAUCGCACUUGAGCAGAGUUGAAAUAUCCACUAAGAGUUGCAUUCUGUAGGGCAUCUUUACAUGAUACAAAAGGCACCGAUUUUCCAUAGAACUGAUGCUGCACAAAAAAUCAAAUUAAAAAAUAUAUAUAUAUCACAACUUUUUAGUUGAUAUUAUAGAUUAAAUUUAUCUUUAUUAUUAUUGUUUCGCGUUCGAACUCUGUUUCAAUUAUUAUCAAAUUCUUUACUUACCUCUAUGUAAACUUGUAAGCCUUUAAAUCGAUGAGCAUUAUCAGUAACCUGGAUUUGUAUGUUAUUAGGAGGUCGUUGCUUAGAGAUUCCCAUGUCCACUCUUAGUGCCAAAAGACUUGGUCUUGAUGCACAGGUGACAAGUUUGUUGGGGAGUACAUUUGGACUCGCUAUCUUGAUUUAGUUCCAAACAUCAUAGCAUUUGGUUAUUUAUGUUGGUCAAAGUUCGCAAGUUCAGUUUGCGUGGUCAACUCAAGUAGACGAGAGAGUUGUGCAACUCUUGACCAUGCGUGCAAAUGCCAAUGUAUGUGGCUUUAAAAUUUGGCAGUGAGGACGUAUGAUCCCCCACAGCCUGGAAUCAAUGUGUGUCUGAAACCUUUUUUGAACGAAAACACGGAGCAAAUGUGAGCUUCUCGCAGGCUAAGGUUCCAAGAGAGGUUACAUAUGUUUACCAUGAAGUGUCAUAUGAACUUGUACAGAUUGAUUUCCGAUGUUUCUUUUUCCCGGUAAUUUCUUAUUUUAAAUCUUAUUGCUUGUCUUUGUGUAUGUGCGUUGGGCUGGAGGCUCCAUUGAAAUGGUGUUUCCUCAAAUUAUGAAUUAUAAUGCUCGUAAGUGUUAAUAUCAUCUCUUCUAGUCCAGCUUAUUAAGAAAGUCUUUCAGAAUCCUAUUCAAACAUAUUCCUUUUUUUUUUGUUUUUUGGAAGGAAAGAUUUUCUUGCUGGAAAUGUUGUUAAUUAACAAGGAUUCUGGUUGUAUUAACUAUUUUGUAAACAAAUUCUUUCAUCUGUACUACAAUAGCAGAUGACGGAGCUCACUGGGAAUAUUUUAUAUUUUUACCAUUGAUGUGAUAACUAAUAUAAGGCAUAAUGGUUUCUGUACCAUUUCCAGCCUCAGCCUGAUUCCAAUACUUGUGGAUCAAAGCAGAAAGUUGCCACACCACCUGUAGGUCCUGGAGAGCUUCCUUCAACGGGUUCAAACAAACCCAAGGAGUGGAGUUGUGCCCUCUGUCGGGUCAGUGCUACUACCGAGAGAGGUCUAGAUGAGCAUCUUCAAGGUAGGAAGCACAAGGCCAGGGUUUCAGGACUAAUUAGAGAUAAGAAAAUGUGCAGUAACUCCACUUCAUCCACGUCAAAAAAAUCUACUGAAAGCAGAGAUGGUGUUGGCCAAGAAAUGAAGACUAAAGUACAAGAGGAAUCAGUUAAAGCUAAUAAAACUGUUGUUGGUCUAGACCAGAAAGGGGAGGUUGGUCUAGAUGAGCAUCCUCAAGGUAAGAAGCAGAAGGCCAAGGAAGAAGAACUACUUGGAGCUCAGAAGUGGAUAAAAAAUCUAAUGAAAGCAGAGAUAGUGCUGGCCAAGAAAUGAAGACUAAAGUAGCAGAGGAAUCAGUUAAAGCUAAUAGAACUGUUGUUGGUUUAGACCAGAAAGAGGAGGGUUGUCAAGCCCUGCA